Molecule: ribosomal RNA, 226 nt
Filed under: Vibrio harveyi
Lineage: Bacteria; Pseudomonadati; Pseudomonadota; Gammaproteobacteria; Vibrionales; Vibrionaceae
Description: partial 16S ribosomal RNA
Rfam family: Bacterial small subunit ribosomal RNA
Source: RNAcentral
AGUGUAGUUAAUAGCUGCAUUAUUUGACGUUAGCGACAGAAGAAGCACCGGCUAACUCCGUGCCAGCAGCCGCGGUAAUACGGAGGGUGCGAGCGUUAAUCGGAAUUACUGGGCGUAAAGCGCAUGCAGGUGGUUUGUUAAGUCAGAUGUGUAAGCCCGGGGCUCAACCUCGGAAUAGCAUUUGAAACUGGCAGACUAGAGUACUGUAGAGGGGGGUAGAAUUUCA